AAAGGUAAGCCCUGUUCAAUGGGAUUAAAUAACCGCAGUAUUAUACUGUGCGAAGGUAGCAUAAUAAUUUUUUCUUUAAAUGGGAGGUAGAAUGAAUGGGUUAACAAGAUAUUUAUUGUGUGAAUGUGAGGUUAGAAUUUUAUAAGGAGGUAAGAAUGCCUUCUUAACCUAAAGGGACGACAAGACCCUGGGAGUUUUAGAAUUAUUUGUUAUACAUAGGAUUCUUUUAGCUGGGGCGGUUAAUAAUAUAAACAUUUAUAAUGGAAACAUUUGUAUGGAAAUUUUGAGCAUAUUUUAGGCAAAAAGAUGAAACUACCCCAGGGAUAACAGCGUAAUUAGAUCUGAGAGUUCUUAUUGAAGAUAGUAGUUGCGACCUCGAUGUUGAAUUAAGCAGGCCUCUUGAAGCAGAAGGUAAGAAAGGUGAGUUUGUUCAACUCUUAAAUGUUUA
This 448-nucleotide ribosomal RNA is filed under the name Elthusa vulgaris. Its description in RNAcentral is "partial 16S ribosomal RNA". It matches the Rfam family "Bacterial large subunit ribosomal RNA", at positions 1848 to 2598 of the family's 2925-position model. The record is from RNAcentral. Lineage: Eukaryota; Metazoa; Arthropoda; Malacostraca; Isopoda; Cymothoidae.